GGACCUGUGGCCCAAUGGAUAAGGCGCUGGUCUACAGAACCAGAGAUUCUGAGUUCAAUCCCCAGAAGAGUCG
This 73-nucleotide transfer RNA is filed under the name Capsicum annuum. It matches the Rfam family "tRNA". Rfam says of the family: Transfer RNA (tRNA) molecules are approximately 80 nucleotides in length. Their secondary structure includes four short double-helical elements and three loops (D, anti-codon, and T loops). The record is from Rfam by way of RNAcentral. Lineage: Eukaryota; Viridiplantae; Streptophyta; Magnoliopsida; Solanales; Solanaceae.